This 720-nucleotide long non-coding RNA is filed under the name Ornithorhynchus anatinus (platypus). RNAcentral describes it as "lncRNA (ENSOANG00000048411.1)". The record is from RNAcentral. Lineage: Eukaryota; Metazoa; Chordata; Mammalia; Monotremata; Ornithorhynchidae.
CUCCUGUUGCCAGAGUUACAGAAAAAACUAGAUGGCUUGUUGACUAUUGGUCUGAUUCAGGAAUGUUAUUACUUAAGUUCGAGUGUGUGUGUGUGUGUGUGUGUGUGUGUCCAUUCAUUCAGUCAUUCAUUCAGUCGUAAUUAUUGAGCACUUAGUGUGUGUGUUGUGUUCGCAUGAUACUAAUAAACUUUCCCUUUCCCCAAAGGCUCAUGGGAUGACAGAGCUGGAGGAAGAAGAGGAAGCGGGGAAAUAGCCUUGGACUCCAUGCUUGGCACGGAGCCUGAGGCCCUUUGGCCUUUAAGGGGCAGUGGAGUGGGCCUAUUGAGAUGCAGGCUCUGCCCUUCCAGUGUCCCAAGGAUGGAUCUCUGGAGAGAUGCCCUUUCAACCUUCUGUCUUUGCGAAAGGCCUAUUGAAUAAGGGCCGUGGAUGUGUCUAGCUGCCAGGUAAGAGCUGAGAGGAAGAAUUACUUUCGGUUCCUCAGACAGACCCUUGGGCCCAGCGGAGAGAUGGCAGCACUUUGCUUCUCCCGGAUCGUCCUCGCACUGUACGACAGCCAAACCUACUCUCCCGGGUUUGGGGGUGGAGCGGCUGGGAGGUGGAGGGGGGUGGUAAAGGGUUAAUACUGCUGACCCCCCCCCCCCCCCUUCUCCCCCAAGUCAUACUGCCAGAGAUCAGCUAAUCUGAUAAUUACAGCAACAAACACAGUUUAGACAAACGUGA